This is a small nuclear RNA of Salvia hispanica, 105 nucleotides long. The record is from RefSeq and is a predicted model, not a curated record. NCBI's taxonomy places the organism in Eukaryota, Viridiplantae, Streptophyta, Magnoliopsida, Lamiales, Lamiaceae.
GUCCCUUCAGGGACAUCUGAUAAAAUUGGAACGAUACAGAGAGGAUUAGCACGUCCCUUCCUGCGUAAGGAUGACACACAUACAAUUGAUUAGAGUAAAAUUUAU